Molecule: long non-coding RNA, 761 nt
Organism: Drosophila bipectinata
Lineage: Eukaryota; Metazoa; Arthropoda; Insecta; Diptera; Drosophilidae
Source: RefSeq, a predicted model, not a curated record
UUAUCACCUUGAGCGGCACGUGACUGGACGAUUUUGAUUCGGAAUCGGAAUCGGUGGAGUAGUGGUGUGAGGUGGGCUGCAGUGGUGUGCGGAGGUGUACGGUGGUUUUGGGGGUACGAAAGAAUUUCCAUCGAGCAACCUGAUCGCACGUUAUUGGAUCUAGAAGGCCUGAGGAGGGGGCUUCGUUGGAAGCCCAGCGGGUCUUCAUGUAAAUAGCAAAACGGCCCGUGCAUCGGAAACUGCAGUGCCACGCAAAAUAUUUCACUCAAAUAAAUAUAGCCGUUUAUUUUUGGAAAUUGAAACAAGCCGUACAAAAUGCGAGGAAACCAAAACACAAAAUAAAAAUAAAGAAACAGGCAAAUAAAUAAAUAAAUAAGGCUGAGGAAUACCAAAUACCGCAACGGAACCCACUCGAAUCACGUUUUCUGUCACGCAAUUUGAGUUCUUUCAAUGAAUCCGAUUUGGAAUUGGAAAUGGCGCAGUUGUGCGGUUCCACACCACAUACAAGACCCAUUCCCCAUUUCGAUCCCCACUCGGUGGUUCACUUAUCAAGUCAAGUGCUCCGGUGGUUGGAGGGAUCAGCAAGAUUGUGGUGUGGGUUAAGUCCAAAUUGGGCAAUCGAAUGGGGCAGCUUCUGUUUAGAUAGUGGUUAUGGUCGGGUUAUUGUGCAUAUAAUCUAUAAAUUGAUUUUGCUAAGCUCUAGCCCCCACAGUCUAGACAAUAUUAGCACAAUAAAUACAGAAUUAAAUGCCCAACUUUAA